ACGUGGGUGAUCUGCCCUGCACUUUGGGAUAAGCCUGGGAAACUGGGUCUAAUACCGAAUACACCCUGCUGGUCGCAUGGCCUGGUGGGGGAAAGCUUUUGCGGUGUGGGAUGGGCCCGCGGCCUAUCAGCUUGUUGGUGGGGUGAUGGCCUACCAAGGCGACGACGGGUAGCCGGCCUGAGAGGGUGUCCGGCCACACUGGGACUGAGAUACGGCCCACACUCCUACGGGAGGCAGCAGUGGGGAAUAUUGCACAAUGGGCGCAAGCCUGAUGCAGCGACGCCGCGUGAGGGAUGACGGCCUUCGGGUUGUAAACCUCUUUCAGUAGGGACGAAGCGUAAGUGACGGUACCUAUAAAAGAAGCACCGGCCAACUACGUGCCAGCAGCCGCGGUAAUACGUAGGGUGCGAGCGUUGUCCGGAAUUACUGGGCGUAAAGAGCUCGUAGGUGGUUUGUC
Molecule: ribosomal RNA, 457 nt
Filed under: uncultured Mycobacterium sp.
Lineage: Bacteria; Bacillati; Actinomycetota; Actinomycetes; Mycobacteriales; Mycobacteriaceae
Description: bacterial SSU rRNA
Rfam family: Bacterial small subunit ribosomal RNA
Source: RNAcentral